UACAGAGGCCUCGAGCGUUAGGCGGAAUCACUGGGCUUAAAGCGUGUGUAGGCGGAUUGGUAAGUACCUUGUGAAAUCCCACAGCUUAACUGUGGAACUGCUCGGUAUACUGCUGAUCUUGAGCCACUCAGGGGCUACCGGAACAAAUGGUGGAGCGGUGAAAUGCGUAGAUAUCAUUUGGAACGCCAAUGGUGAAAACAGGUAGUUGGGGGUGUGCUGACGCUGAGACACGAAAGCCAGGGGAGCAAACGGG
RNAcentral lists this ribosomal RNA (253 nucleotides) under uncultured bacterium. RNAcentral describes it as "partial 16S ribosomal RNA". It matches the Rfam family "Bacterial small subunit ribosomal RNA", at positions 524 to 776 of the family's 1533-position model. The record is from RNAcentral.